Molecule: non-coding RNA, 119 nt
Filed under: Desulfotomaculum sp.
Lineage: Bacteria; Bacillati; Bacillota; Clostridia; Eubacteriales; Desulfotomaculaceae
Description: MoCo sequence
Rfam family: Molybdenum/Tungsten riboswitch aptamer (Moco RNA motif)
Source: RNAcentral
UUUAUAUUUACUCUCCGAGCCAAACAGCCUAAGGUCUAAAGCUAUGGUUCUUGGCCGGCAGGGUACGUUGGGAAACCGACGUGCCUUCCAUUGCGAGAAGGAGAGUUGACUUGGUAUAU